UUCUGUAAUGAAUAUAAGCAAC
This 22-nucleotide microRNA is filed under the name Schistosoma japonicum. RNAcentral's name for it is "miRNA-3116". Lineage: Eukaryota; Metazoa; Platyhelminthes; Trematoda; Strigeidida; Schistosomatidae. The record is from RNAcentral.